Molecule: transfer RNA, 88 nt
Filed under: Pseudoalteromonas haloplanktis
Lineage: Bacteria; Pseudomonadati; Pseudomonadota; Gammaproteobacteria; Alteromonadales; Pseudoalteromonadaceae
Also listed under: 66 other names
Description: tRNA-Ser
Rfam family: tRNA
About the family: Transfer RNA (tRNA) molecules are approximately 80 nucleotides in length. Their secondary structure includes four short double-helical elements and three loops (D, anti-codon, and T loops). Further hydrogen bonds mediate the characteristic L-shaped molecular structure. tRNAs have two regions of fundamental functional importance: the anti-codon, which is responsible for specific mRNA codon recognition, and the 3' end, to which the tRNAs corresponding amino acid is attached (by aminoacyl-tRNA synthetases). tRNAs cope with the degeneracy of the genetic code in two manners: having more than one tRNA (with a specific anti-codon) for a particular amino acid; and 'wobble' base-pairing, i.e. permitting non-standard base-pairing at the 3rd anti-codon position.
Source: RNAcentral
GGUGACGUGUCCGAGUGGCUGAAGGAGCACGCCUGGAAAGUGUGUAAAGGGCAACCUUUCGAGAGUUCGAAUCUCUCCGUCACCGCCA